GAUCGUAUGAGUUAGUGCAAAAAGGGUUCCAUUUAACCUGCACCUCGAUGUUUCAUGUGGAUCUCUUACUGUUGUUUCAAAUGUUUGCAGACAAUAAUCUAGAGGUUCAUCGUGAAUCACUGGAUGCAAUUCCUCAACAACUGAGCACACCUUCAAGAAUAUUCUGACCAGCCUCCCCAAGCCUCGAGGUGGUGAAUAGCAGAAUUCUGAUGGAACCCGGGCGCUCAUCAAUUCAAGGCAUGUGCUCCAUAUAUGUAGUGCUAAUAGAAUUGUGUUACUAGUUCCAGUCAUGGAAGAUGAUUGAUGUUUCAGGGCCUUUGCUCCUAUAUAGUCUGUAUGGUUUGAUCUGUCAUAAAAGAUGUGGGCAUGACUUUUGUUCAUAUGUGCUCCAUAUAUGUAGGUCAAUUUCAAUAAUUUGCGCAUGACUUUUGUUCAUGUGUGCAUCCUAA
Panicum hallii is the source of this 449-nucleotide long non-coding RNA. RefSeq lists it as uncharacterized. The record is from RefSeq and is a predicted model, not a curated record. The transcript is spliced from 2 exons. Lineage: Eukaryota; Viridiplantae; Streptophyta; Magnoliopsida; Poales; Poaceae.